GAUGAACGCUAGCUACAGGCUUAACACACGCAAGUCGAGGGGUAACAAGAGAAAAGCUUGCUUUUCUUGUUGACGACCGGCGCACGGGUGAGUAACGCGUAUCCAACCUGCCUAUAACUAGGGAAUAACCUUGCGAAAGUAAGACUAAUACCCUAUGAUUUCCUUUGAUGACAUCAGAUUAGGAAUAAAGAUUUAUCGGUUAUAGAUGGGGAUGCGUCUGAUUAGCUUGUUGGCGGGGUAACGGCCCACCAAGGCAACGAUCGGUAGGGGUUCUGAGAGGAAGGUCCCCCACAUUGGAACUGAGACACGGUCCAAACUCCUACGGGAGGCAGCAGUGAGGAAUAUUGGUCAAUGGGCGGAAGCCUGAACCAGCCAAGUAGCGUGCAGGAUGACGGCCCUAUGGGUUGUAAGCUGCUUUUAUACAGGAAUAAAGUUAGCCACGUGUGGUUAUUUGUAGGUACUGUAUGAAUAAGGACCGGCUAAUUCCGUGCCAGCCGCCGCCGUAA
This 506-nucleotide ribosomal RNA is filed under the name uncultured bacterium. Its description in RNAcentral is "partial 16S ribosomal RNA". It matches the Rfam family "Bacterial small subunit ribosomal RNA", at positions 28 to 523 of the family's 1533-position model. The record is from RNAcentral.